RNAcentral lists this transfer RNA (6350 nucleotides) under Medicago truncatula (barrel medic). RNAcentral describes it as "lncRNA gene35397". The stretch from base 6256 to 6327 matches the Rfam family "tRNA". The record is from RNAcentral. Lineage: Eukaryota; Viridiplantae; Streptophyta; Magnoliopsida; Fabales; Fabaceae.
CAUCAGAGUGGCGCAGCGGAAGCGUGGUGGGCCCAUAACCCACAGGUCCCUGGAUCAAAAUUCAAUUUCUAAGUAGACGUUUUGAUGUUUUGGUUUCUUGAGUUAUUGGCGCAUUAAAAAAUUAUAUUUAAUCCAUCCGAUGUCGAAAAAUUCUAAUUUUUGGGGGAAAUGUUUUUUUAUGUUCUUAAUAUGCGGGCAAAAAAUAAUAAAAAAAUUCAACAUCUAUAUAACUUUUUCGGACGCCUGAUUGAAAAAUAAUGCGAUUUUAUGCGUUUCAGUAAAAAAUUCAAAAUAAAUUGAGGAUUAGUCAAAAUAGUAUGAAAAUUUGCAAAUCCUAUAUAUGUAUUUUUAUAGAGAUGUAUGCUAAAAAACAGCUCAAAAUUCAAUUUUUACGUUGAUGUUUUCGUGUCUUAAGUUUUAGGCGCGUUAAAAAUUCAUAUUUAAUCCAUCCCUUGUCGAAAAAUUCAAAUUUUUUGUGGGAGAUGUUCUUUUUUUGUUCCAAACAUGAUUGCAAAAAAUUUUGAAAAAGUUCAACCUCUAGGACACUUUUUCGGACUCGCAGUUGGAAAAAAACAGUGAUUUUGCAUGGUUCGGUCGAAAAAAAUAAAUAAAUCGAGACUUAGUCGAAAUGCUAAGAAACUUUAUAGACACCUCUAUAAAAGUACAUAUAGAUGAUGUGCAAAGUUUCGUAACAUUCCGAAUAAGUGUCUGUAAAGUUUCGAGACUUAUUUGGAAUGUUACAAAACUUUUCACAUCAUCUAUAUGUAUUUUUAUAGAGGUGUCUGUAAAAUUUUGUAGAAUUCUGAAUAAAUUUCGAUUUAUUUUGAUUUUUCGAUCAAAACGUGUAAAAUCACAACUGAAAUUGCACUGAAGUUCCGGGGUAAUUCGUAACUUCCAUAUGUCAAUAUGAAGUUCUUAAUGUUAGAAAAGCAAUUUUCUAUUUAUUUUUUCAUUUAUAUGCUGAUGUUGGUAAUGGUUUGUAUUUCAUCCACCAUCACGAAAACAUAUGCUAAGAACUUUCAGUCCCACAUAAAAUGAGUCUUGAAACUUGUUGGUGCACGUAGGUUGUGCUUUUCUUAUUGAACAAAAAUCAUGAUGUGUAUGCUUUUUAAAUCAAAGUAGAAGCACAAUGGUGAUUUUAUGAAAAGGAAAGAACCUUGGGAUUGCAUUUUUUUAGGUGCUUCUUGUAUGCUUUUAAAUGAAGUACUCAUGAUUUCCAUAAAUUUACAAUUUUCUUUUAGUUUGUUUUAGUCACAAAAGAUGUAUUUUUUUAUUAAAAAAUCAUACAAAAAAUACAUAUAAAAUGGACAUAAGUUUUGUCCUAAGAAAAAUUGAUUGUGCUCUAUAUAAUCACUCUUUAUUCCCUUGUAAUUUUCACCUUUUCCAAUAUUUUAAUACAAUUUAUAUCUUCAAUCUCUGUGUUUUUCUCUCUUCUAUGAACUUUAUCUUGUUUUUUUAAACGUACAAAUUGUCAUUGCAUAACAUUUUUCUUGUAAUAUCAAAACUAAUUUUGAACGGUAGAAGAAUUAAAUCCAAAAAUUUAUAUGGUAAGAAUCAGAGAACAUAUAUAAUGAAUGCGUCAUAACUUUACUUACAAAGUAAUGACAUAUAUUGAAAGGAUAUUUUUAAAAAGUAAUGAAGGAGUCCAUUUAAAGAGGUAUAUAUAAAAAAAGUAGAUUCCAUAAAAAAAAUACAAAAAGUAGAUAACAGAUCAUAUCACUUUCAAAAACUUCUUUGUGUCUUUCUUCAAAUGCAAGAAAUGUAGAUAAUCUUAAAUAGAGUGGAUCUUAAUCAAUAUUAAACCAUAUCAUCUUAGAUGCUUUCAAUGCUCUAUCUCUUAAGUUAUUUUUUUUCUUCUUCUUGAAAACUUACUCAUUUACUUAAAGACAUUGGUUAAGAGGAUAAAAAUAUAAAUAUUGUAUUAAAAACUGAUGAAAAAUGAUUAAUUUAACUUUUUAAAACUUAAAAUAUUGUCGAACACGUGUUAUGGUUCCACAUUUAAUGAGGUAUGACCCGAACACAUGCUUAUAAUCGGUUUUGUUAGGUUGAGUUAGAUACAAUUCAAAUUUUAAGACUAAUUUAUACAAUUAAACAUAUAGGUAGGCCAUUGCAAAAUUGUUAAUCAUUAUCAAGUCUAAACGACAAUUAUUAUCAGGUACAAAAAUUUAGUUUUGAAGAACUAAUAGAAAACAAAUACAAAUAGAAAUUUUAGAAUGAAAAUUGAUCUUGUAGUGGUAUCAACAUUAAUAUGAUCAAUCUAAUAAAAUUAAAGAUAUUGUUUUACUAUAUAAUGAAGUCACCAAAGUUUAAAGAAUGUGCCACCAUUGAUUAGUUCACACAACAUGAACAUGAUUAAAAACAUGAAGGUCUUAUGCAAUUCGACAAAAGAUUUUAAAUCAAGGUAACAGAAAGUAAGAUUUCUAAUCAAUAUGAACAUGAAAGUCUUAUGAAGAGUUUAUUUAUUAAUGAAAGAUGUAAUCAACAUUGCAUAAUGUAAUAAAUUACAUCAAAUAUAGAUUUACAACAAAAUCAAAGUGGUGUAGCGGAAAUCAGAGUGGUGCAACGGUAGCAUGGUGGACCAAUAACCCACAUGUUCUUAGAUUGAAACCGCUCUAAUAAAAUUAAUGUGUUUUUUAGUUUAAAAUAAUAAAAGUUUCAUUUUGAUCCCUUAACACCAUUUUUAUUAGUCAAAUUGGUCCCUUCUGUUAGUUUUCUAAUGUUUAAUAUUUUUUAUAUGACUUAAACGAUUUGAUUGUAGGUCCAUUGUAUUUUUCUAAUGUUUAAUAUUUCACUUUUCUUCAUCUUCCCUCUUCUUCUUCUUCUUCUUCUUCUUCUUCAUGAUCUUCAUCUUCUUCAUGAUCUUCAUCAUAUUACUCAGAACCAAAAUAACUUCAAAUUCUAAAACUAAAAAAAAAAAAAAAACAUGUGCAAUAAAAAACUUAAAUUCCAUAAACCUCAAUACAUAAAUCUGAGAAACCUAAAAUAUAAAAACCAUCACCACCGAAACUUCAUAAAUCCCAAAAACCACCCCAAAAGCUUCCACCUCUGUCACCACAACCCCUUACGAAUUCUUCGCAUUAUUCCGCACCAUGUUUCUAAUACGUUGAAACCAACACAUCACAAUUGCUUCAAAUCAGGGUUUGCUGUUUCAUCAUCUUCAACGAAACCAAACUCACCCAUCAUCAAAACAAAGACUCACCUUAAAGCUUCAACCUAUAAACAACUCAAUAGUUUUAAUUUCCCUAAAGCUUCAACCUUUACCACUUUCUUCACUCAAAGUCACAGUUUUUUCAUCUGGGUAUUUUUUAUAUUUUUUUGAAAAAAGAAGAAAAAAUGUUUGAUUUUGAACCAAUUGCAAAAGACAGUGUUUUUUUUGUUUCUUCAACGAUUGUUGCUGUGUUUCAUUUCCUAAAAAUUGACUUGGAGAUUGAAAUAUAUAGAAUUGAUCAUACAUGCAGGUUUUGGUAUGUGUAGUAUAACUUUUAAUCACAAUGGGUUGUUUAGUGAUGGAUACAUGAUUUAAUUUGUAGCUCUGGUAAUAAAUUGGGGGUGAUGAUGAGUGGGAGGAGAUGAUAAUAAUUUGGGGAUUUAUGAGUCUUGAAGGAAGAAGAAGAAGAAGCGACGAAGAUUCCGAUUUAAAAAAAUGAAUUUGAGUUUUUUAUUUUUUAUUUUCUAGGUUUGAAGGCAAAUGAAGGUGUAUGAAGAUAUGAUGAAGAUGGAGAAAAGAGGAGGGAAUAAGAUGAAGAUAAGUAAAAAAAAUAAAUUAAGUUUUGGUGGUUUACACUAAGAUAUAAUGGAAUCCAAUCAUCUUUAUUUUGUCAAAAAGAUCUAAUGGUUCAAAUUUAAAAAAUAAGUAAGGUCUAUGGUGGACAGUCUACAAUGUUGAUCCACCUUAGACAUUUAAGGUUAAAAACUGACGGAAAGGACCACUUUGACAAACAGAGAUAGAGUUUAGGGAUCAAAACGAAAUUUUUAAUAAUUAGAGGACCAAAAUGAAACUAAAAAAUUAUUUAGAUGACCAAAUAUGAAAUUUAGCUUUUUUUUAACAAAAUAAAAUAGCAUAUUGAUUAUGUUUUUUUUAACAAAUAAAAAUAAAAUUUUGUCUUCAAUUUUUCUAAAAGAAACACUUAAACUUAUUGUUCAACUCACUUCCAAGAAGAUUAUUGAACAUAACUAUUUCACCUUAAAAUCACUUUUUACUUAAAAUAAAUUAACAAAAUCAACCUUCAUCACACCAUAGAACUAAACAUGAACUCACAGACUUCAAAUAUAUACUGAACAAAGUGAAUGAUUACGGGAAAGACACAUGCUUUAGGGAAAUAAGGAAAGUGAUCUUCAUACUGGAAUCAAUGGUAACAACACUAACAAUUUCUUUGCACAUUCACAAUAUUAACAUAAAUAUAUGAAAAAUAUAGCAACUAAAUUGAGCCAUCAUUAAAAUAGAUGUUCAUGUUAUAUUUAUAUUCAAAAUGUAAGUGUUCCAUACCUUGAUAUGUUAUCUGCAUCUAUUUAUGAUAGAAUGUACUAUGUGCAAGUCUUUCCUCUACUUCGUUUUGCAAAAAGAAGAAACUUGAGCAAGUGCAACUAAUAAGCAUAUAGUGAUAUGUUGGGAAAUUGAGCAUUGCAAAGUCUUUUUUUUUUUUUUUUUACGCAACGUUAUAAAGUCUAAGUAACAAUUACUCAUAUGAUUUGCCUUAAAAUAAUAUUACUCUCAUAUUAAAUUGCAAAUGAUAAGAAAUAAAAUGAAAUUGUCAGUUCAAAAAUUGAAUCAUUAUACAAAAUUUAGGAAUCAUCUAAUUCAUUUUCCAUUUAAAGAAAGGUAUAAAAAUGGAGCACACAUUAUUUUCUCAUGAGUCAAGCAUAACACAACUAAACCAUCUCCAAAUGUUGUUGGAAAGGAUGAUAUGAAGUAAGAUGCGGCAUGAAGUUCGUCCUAUAACUGCUAACCGUUAAGAGUUCCAUAUUUAAUGAGGUAUGACACAAACAAGUACUUAGAACCGGUUUUGUUAGGUUGAGUUAGACACAAUUCAAAUUUGAAGACUAAUUUAUACAAUUGAACACAAUUUGGUGCGCAUGAUAGAGAGACAUGAUAUGAUAACUCUAUCUUAUCGUAUUUAAAUCCUUUGUUUGGUGCAGCAAUAUGAUAUGAGAAAUCAAACCUUUUAUUUAUCUUAUCCUAUAAACUCUUUGUUUUUUUAAUCCUUAGUUUAGGCUGGGUUAGCAACCUAAAAACCAAAAAACAUGCGCUUUUAAUAUUUCUCAAAAGACCUUCCUUCUACUCCCUCUAUCUGCAAACUGCACUCCGUCUCCAAUAUGAUCUGAAACAACCCUAUCGACUCCUCCCACCCACUCUCAUACUUUUUUGCAACCCUAAUCGAUGAUUAAUGCCAAUUUCAAAUUUUCCCUAAUUUUUUAUUUGUUAAUCGAUGUUUUUUUUUUCAAUCAUCGUGAUUUAUUUGUUUUUCAAUCGAUAUCUUCCUGUUUAUUUGUUUGUUUCCCACUGUACCACCGCUUCAAAAAUCAUUUGUUUACCUAAUCGAUGUGUGGGAACAAACUCAUUAAUAAAGUAAGCACUCAUAAACUUUUUGAUUGUGAAUCCUGAAUCAUUAAUUCAUACAUGUUAAGGAGCAUGUUUGCCAAAUAGUCUAUAACAGCAAAGCGUGACAUGAAGUUUUUUGUUUAUAUGUAUAAUAUCAUGUCAACAUUAUGAGUGCACCAAACACAUGAUAGGAUAAGUUCUAUCAUGUUAUUAUCAUAUCCUAUCCUUAUCCAAUUCAUUUUCAUAUCCUAUCUCUAUCAUAUCAUGUGCACCAAACGGGCCGAAACAUAUAGGUAGGCCAUUGCAAACACUCUAACCAUUAUCAAUUCUAAACAACAAUUAUUAUUAUCAAGUAAAAAAAAUUAGUUUUGAUGUUAUAAUUAAUAGAAAACAAAUACAAAUAGAAAUUUUAGAAUGAAAAUUGAUCAUGUUCGCCGUAGUAUCGACAUUAAUAUGAUCAAUCUAAUAAUCCAAAGAUAUUGUUGUACUAUAUAAUGACAUCACCAAAGUUUAAAGAAUGCGCCACCGUUGGAUUGAACUCAUGGUUUAAUUAACAUUAACAAGAUUAAAGACAUGAAGGUCUUAUACAAUUAGGCAAAAGAUUUCAAAUAUAGGAAACACAGUAAGAUUACCAGAUUGAUUCAUGAAUGAGUAAGGUUAUUAAGAAAAGAUGUAAAACAUAGCAUUAGUUAAAAUUGUAUAAUUUAAUCAACAAGAUCAGAGUGGCGCAGCGGAAGCGUGGUGGGCCCAUAACCCACAGGUCCCUGGAUUGAAACCAGGCUCUGAUAAAACCACCAAUUUUUAACUAAUU